CCGGCACGGGUGGAGUAACACGUAUCCAACCUGCCGUCUACUCUUGGCCAGCCUUCUGAAGGAAGAUUAAUCCAGGAUGGCAUCAUGAGUUCACAUGUCCGCAUGAUUAAAGGUAUUUUCCGGUAGACGAUGGGGAUGCGUUCCAUUAGAUAGUAGGCGGGGUAACGGCCCACCUAGCAACGAUGGAUAGGGGUUCUGAGAGGAAGGUCCCCCACAUUGGAACUGAGACACGGUCCAA
Molecule: ribosomal RNA, 238 nt
Filed under: uncultured bacterium
Lineage: Bacteria
Description: partial 16S ribosomal RNA
Rfam family: Bacterial small subunit ribosomal RNA
Source: RNAcentral